RNAcentral lists this ribosomal RNA (158 nucleotides) under Fusarium sp. RNAcentral describes it as "5.8S ribosomal RNA". It matches the Rfam family "5.8S ribosomal RNA". Rfam says of the family: 5.8S ribosomal RNA (5.8S rRNA) is a component of the large subunit of the eukaryotic ribosome. It is transcribed by RNA polymerase I as part of the 45S precursor that also contains 18S and 28S rRNA. The record is from RNAcentral. Lineage: Eukaryota; Fungi; Ascomycota; Sordariomycetes; Hypocreales; Nectriaceae.
AAACUUUCAACAACGGAUCUCUUGGUUCUGGCAUCGAUGAAAAACGCAGCAAAAUGCGAUAAGUAAUGUGAAUUGCAAAAUUCAGUGAAUCAUCGAAUCUUUGAACGCACAUUGCGCCCGCCAGUAUUCUGGCGGGCAUGCCUGUUCGAGCGUCAUUU